GGUGCUGUAGCAUAGCUGGUUAACGUGCCUGUCUAGUAAACAGGAGAUCCCUGGUUCAAAUCUCAGUGGUGCCU
RNAcentral lists this transfer RNA (74 nucleotides) under Loxodonta africana (African savanna elephant). It matches the Rfam family "tRNA". Rfam says of the family: Transfer RNA (tRNA) molecules are approximately 80 nucleotides in length. Their secondary structure includes four short double-helical elements and three loops (D, anti-codon, and T loops). Lineage: Eukaryota; Metazoa; Chordata; Mammalia; Proboscidea; Elephantidae. The record is from Rfam by way of RNAcentral.